RNAcentral lists this ribosomal RNA (441 nucleotides) under uncultured bacterium. RNAcentral describes it as "partial 16S ribosomal RNA". It matches the Rfam family "Bacterial small subunit ribosomal RNA", at positions 338 to 795 of the family's 1533-position model. The record is from RNAcentral.
CCUACGGGAGGCAGCAGUCGGGAAUAUUGCUCAAUGGAGGUAACUCUGACGCAGUCACGCCGCGUGCAGGAAGACGGUUUUCGGAUUUGAAACUUCUUUAGACAGGGAGGAAAAAAGACAGUAGCGUGAGGAUAAGCUCCUGCUAAAUCCGUGACAACAGCCGCGGUACUACGGAGGGAGCACGCGUUAUCCGGAUUUAUUGGGUGGAAAGGGUGCGUAGACGGAGAAGCAAGUUAGUUGUGAAAUCCCUCGGCUUAACUGAGGAACUGCAACUAAAACUACUUCCCUUGAGUACUGGAGAGGAAAGUGGAAUUCGUAGUGUAGCGGUGAAAUGCGUAGAUAUGAGGAGGAACACCAGUGGCGAAGGCGACUUUCGGGACAGCAACUGGCGUUGAGGCACGAAAGUGUGGGGAGCAAACAGGAUUAGAUACCCCUGUAGUC